UAAGCACCUAAUUUCCUCGAACGUUAUUUAUGUCAGAAGAGAUUUUAUAGGUUUUUUGUAUUUUACUUCUGUCACGCGGCAGUAUCUUUUAGCAGGACACAAUUGGACAGAAAUUAAGUAAAUGAAAUGAAAAAGCUAAGGAAGAUUACAUCAUUUCCAUUUAUAGGAAAUUAAUAAGUGAAAAAUGUGUCGAACAGCGCAUGCUAUCCUCCAAACAGCAAUAUGUGGGGUUCAAAUGCUCGUCCGCGUCUUUAUGACGGUCAUACUUAUGCUAGAGAACGUGAUUCGGAUGGUGUUGCAAACAUCGUAUAAUUUCAUUUCGUUCAUGCUCCAAAUGAUAUCACUAAUACCUAUAUGCGUUGUUUUUCUCCUCACUGCGAGACUAAAAUGUUUCAUGUGUGGAGGGGGCGGGCCCUGUCCCGUGAAUAAAGGAGGCGCCUGCGACUGCCUUAUGUCCGCAGUGGCCAUUGUUAUUCUCUUCAUCAUCUUCAGAGCGACUGGCGUGCUGGACAAGAUGUUAUACAGUAUCGGCUACGUUAAAGCUCGGGCCUUAGCUCACACGCGGUUCGUGCCUACGCCAGGUGAUAUCACGGAAUGUUCUAGAAACCAAACAGAGGAAACCGAGACUAUUCAUGGUAUUAUGUCCACUAGUGAAAUGACGCAUGGGACAAACAGCAUGCAUACGACAGCCACGGAGAUUUUCAAAUCGACUACAUCGAAGAAAUUGUUGAGGGAGGGUCUGUUUUUUAAAUUAACCACUCUGUCCAGCGAUAAUUUUGAUACGAUAAUAGAGCACUACUUCGCGUGAUAGAAUUUGUUUGCAUUUGUUUUGUUCGAAAAAAAAAAAAAAAAAACAAAAAUAUAUAUUUUGUAAACGAACAUCGUUAGGUUAUUGAAAUACAGAAUUUUCCUAUACGA
Bombyx mori (domestic silkworm) is the source of this 918-nucleotide long non-coding RNA. RefSeq lists it as uncharacterized. The transcript is spliced from 2 exons. NCBI's taxonomy places the organism in Eukaryota, Metazoa, Arthropoda, Insecta, Lepidoptera, Bombycidae. The record is from RefSeq and is a predicted model, not a curated record.